Musa acuminata AAA Group (dessert banana) is the source of this 4144-nucleotide long non-coding RNA. RefSeq lists it as uncharacterized. The transcript is spliced from 3 exons. The record is from RefSeq and is a predicted model, not a curated record. Lineage: Eukaryota; Viridiplantae; Streptophyta; Magnoliopsida; Zingiberales; Musaceae.
GGAGGAAAAACAUGAUGAGCGUUAUCUCAUCGGCAACGCGUCGUCAUCAGAGAGGGUUGAGAGAGAGAGAGAGAGCGAGCGAGAGAAGCAGGAAGAUGAUAGCGCUCGGGGUCUCGUCGCCGUCGUCGUCUUCCUCAGUGCAUCACGUCCUCGCUUCUCUUGGGAUUUCACCUCAACUGCAUUCAUGGAGGGCUUCCUCAUUCCGUGGAAUCCGACUGGAGGCUGGCGUCCGAACUGCGACCCCGCUGUCGUAUCGCAGUGGCGCCAGCGGCGGACGGAUGGUGGUGAAUAUGGCGAAGCGGGAGGAGGAGAUGAAGGAGAUUCGGGCGAAGACGACGGAGGAGAUCAACGAGGAGGUGAUCGACCUCAAAGGGGAGCUCCUCAUGCUCCGCCUCCAGAAAUCUGCACGGAACGAGUUCAAAUCCAGCGAGUUCGGACGCAUGCGCAAAAGGAUUGCUCGAAUGCUGACGGUAAAAAGGGAGAUAGAGAUUGAAGAGGGGAUAAACAAAAGAUUGUCAAGGAAGCUUGACAGGAAAUGGAAAAAGAGUAUUGUGGUCAGGCCACCUCCUUCCCUAAGGAAGAAGCAAGAGGAGCAGAAAGCUGCAGAAGCAGAAAAGUCAUCAUAGAUCAACUUCAUGUAUCAAGUAACAAGCAUAUUUCUCAUGAAUCCUGAUGUAUUCCUGCUGAAUUUAUUAAUGCUGUCUAGGUGCCAUGGUACUUGAACUCAGUUCUUUUCUUUUGCAGUGAUGAAUCCUGUUAUUAGAAAUUGUCUACCAGAGUUGUCUUGAUCACAUCAUACUGUAGUGUUAUUUUACCAUUAUUUCUUGUGUCAUAUGUUGUUUGUCAAUUCCAUGACAUUUAUAUUCUAAAACCUAUAACAACCAUCAUUUUCCUCGUUAAUUUUGGUCUACAUGAUCCUUUUUUGAAGCCUAAAUACAACCCGUGUUAGCAUGAUAAUUGUUUUAUGCACAUUUGAAAUGUUUGUGAAGAUGAUUGAGCAAAAGAUGCUCUUAUAUGGCAACACUCUGUUUUCCUUUAUCCUUCUGCCUGUUCUUGGGCAGAACAGGACUCAUUAAAGUGUAAGACAAUACAAGAAACUAAAAGCCUGAGUUUAGCUGUCAAUUAGAUUAGCUUGAACCUGCAAUUUGGAAGUCUUGUGUCCAAUUGGAAUUAUAUAUAUAGAACAUCCAUUAAUAGACCUCGGAAUGAAGAUCCUUUGAGGUUAAUAGAUCGUUUUUUUUUUUUUUUUUUCACUUUUUCACAGCUCACGCAAGCGCGAGCUCUGUUGAAAAUUCUUUGAGUAAUAUUUUUUUUGAAUGUUAAUUGAUAGGGAUAAAUGUGACUAGGAUAACUUGAGAAAACACUUGAUUGAUAUUAUCCAAGUCAUGUUACCAGCAUUGAUUGUUAAGCUUCUACUAUAUACGCUUCUGUAAAUGAUUUUGAUGCACAUCCAACUGAAUCACUAAUUGCAUCAGAUGAUGAUGACCCAAGCUAUUGCAUGAAAAUACAUAAUGUCCCUUUCUGAUGUUGCUAUUCUUCUACUCCUAGCUAAGGUUUCCUUCUUACAGUGACCAACUUUGUUAAGGUUGAUGCCAAGAUUGGUUUUCUGACAACUGACAUAAGAAACUUACUGUGAUCCCCAACACAUGGGGCACGGAUUAGGUAGUGGAAGUUUCUCUUUUGUUGCUAUAUUCUAAUUUCCUUGACAACCCCAGUUCACAUACCUUUGUGAAAGAGUUCAACAGAAAAAUACAUAUGCUUGGGACAAGAAAGAUAGAGUCAUGACUAGUUAUUUCUAAUAUUAGGAUUUCGUAGCUGAAAUAAACUUCAUUGUAUACCGAUCUGUUUCAUUGUAUAUGCACUGAUUCCAAAUUUCUUAUUUUUGAGUUUUGAUGUAUAAUAAAAUUUAGAGACAUAGCAUAGAACUCCCAACCAAGUAUGUAUGAAGAACAGAGGAACCUUCUGUGUACAUUGACAAGUGUUCAAGAACCUGUAUAACGUAUUGGAUCAGUGCCAAUUAGCAAUCAGCAAUGCAUGCAUGAGGCAGAAUCUACAUGGGUAUCCGCUUGAAAUUUUUAGAUGAACUCGCUCAUAAAUUGGUCAUCAAGCAUGAUCUCAGGCCAGCAGAAAGGAGUCCCAUUUCCAUCACAGCUAGUAAUACUACAACCAUCCCCCUGGUUGGCAACCGAGACGUCAGUGAGAGGAGGAAGAGGUGGCUCAAAGAAGGAUGCCAAUUGGUUGCUGCUAUCAAUAUUCUGAGGAGGAUUGUGAGAAGGGAAAGACGAAGUCAUCUGAGAACUAAACAGGCUUAUGGUCUCCAAGUCACUACAGUUGUAGCAGUUAUUUGAGGUGGCACUGACCGACUGUGUCAGGCAUUGAAAAUACUGGAGCUUUGCAGCCUGGAUUGCCUCCAACACCUGGAGCCGUGCAGCGUGGUCGUCGUCCUGUGGGUGGCUGUUCAUGAGCUGGUGGAGCUGGAGCAGAGCCAACAGCUGGGGAAGGGCAGUGAAGAAGUCGGUCCUCGGGCGGUGCGUCAUCGGGUCAAAACCCAUUUGGAUCAGCUUCUUCUUGAGGUGAGUGUGCCACAAGUUCUUGAUCUCGUUGUCGGUCCGCCCGGGAAGGUGCAUUGCGAUUGCAGACCACCUGAAUGGAUCAGAGUUCCUCUAGGUUUAGAUUUGAUUCAGAAUGGUCACAAGAGCACAUGUAGUUAGUACAGUAAGAGAGCUGAUAAGUACUUGUUGCCUAGGAUGGAAUGGAGGUUGAGAAUGGUUUGCUCUUCUUCUGGGGAGAAGUUGCCUCUCUUGAUGUCUGGCCUCAAGUAGUUGGUCCAUCUGAGCCUGCAGCUCUUGCCGCAUCGAUUAAGUCCUGCAAGAGAGAAGAACACCAAACAUACAAGGCUGUAAUACAUAAGAGAAAGAGAGAGAGGUACCCACCUGCAAGUUUUGGGAGUGCUCUCCAGCUGCCAUGGCCAUGCUUUUGAAUGUAUUGGACCAGCUUCUGGUCUUCUUCAGGAGUCCAGGGACCUUUCUUAAGGCCAUGCUCAUCACAGCAGGGAGAUCUCCCCAUUGAAACCCUAAGAGGAGACUGGGUGGUGGUGGGUUGGAGAGUGCACAUUCCUACCAAGAGAUGGCUUGCUCAUAUAUACACUUCUGUAUCUUAGCCUGAGCUCACAAUAUUUCUCCAUCGGACCAAAGUGAUCUUAGCCCUUGGACCGAAGAAAACAUGGCAUUCUUCCAUCAGUGACCACAGCGGAUUUACUUCCACAGGUGAUGCAAGAAUCAAAAUGCUACUUUCUGGUAUGCAUAUAAGCCUCAAAGAUAGCAGCAGUGAUGUGCAAUGGCAGGCUCAGGCCCAGUAGUUCAUAAACUGGGAACUCAACCAACCGAUCUACCCUCUCCUACUACUCUUUAACUUUGGGGACCAGGAAGUCAAAAGAUUAGGUGACAAGUUGGCAAUAUUGCAUAUCCAGGUCUUUCAUUAAUAUAUCAAGGAACUCUCAGUGGUCUUCUCCAAGGGUUGCCAUCUCUGAAGAUAUGACUUCAAGUAAGUACAAGGAACUUGUUUUAAGAGACAUGCACAGUUUGGUUUCCUGUGUGCAUCCUUGUGAGCUGACACUGUUACAUAUUAAUUAGCAGAAGGCACUCCGUUUGUAGGAAACAAACUUGCUAAGGACUUCAUUCUGCCUGGAGACAGUAUGCCAUGCAGCAUCACUCACUUUGAUUCUAUAUAUCUCCAAAGGAAUGAGGAAUGAGAUGUGGACAGAGGUAUCAUUUCGUUUAACUGAAGGUUUUACAUGCAUGCCAAGGAGAUGUGGACAGAGGAAGGUACCACACUUUUUGACCAUGAAGUAGUAUUAGUGAUGGGGUUGGUGAAGCCAACACCAAAUACCUCCAUUCUCUCUUUUCAGUAUGAGCCUUUAUGACAAUCUUCAAAGGUGACACACUUUUUCCUCUCUCAAUGUUUCCUCCCCACAAGGAGGUGGGAAUAGGAUAAUAAGAAGAUUACUACUAGUGUCAAUGAAACUAUAGUCAUCUUUUGCAUGCAUCUUUGUAUUAUCCUUGACUUGGAUCAUUUGGUGCUGGCAACAAGUCAAGCUAUAUGCUAAACCCAAUGGUGGACAAAAUCCAUAGGGCUUCUGAUUUCA